AGUCGUAUCCUAGUUUUGAGAAUUAAUCGUGCGUCAUUUUGUUGCUCGUCCUUUCUUCUUCUUCUUCCUCCAUUCUUCUUUAUUUUCUAUCUCGCGAAAUUAUCCUAAGAAGAAGAAGAAGAAGAAGCUUUAACUUUGCUGAAAGAUAACGAGAAAGUGAAUGAGAAAGGGAGAGACGUGUGUGUAAUAUUCCGAGAAACUCGUGUACCUUUAUAACGAACCGAAGAGACAAGAAAGAUGACGACGACGACGGGAACCUAGACGAGGAUGAAAGUUGGAAAGAGAAAAAGUACCACCACCACCACCACCACCAACAUCACCGCCGGCAGGACCAACUCGAGGAUGUGAACGAGGACGAAGGACGGCAGGCAAGAGGGCUUAACUUUACGGUCGAGACGGAUAAAACGAACAAAAAAUCAAUGGGGGAAACUUUAAUAGACGUACAAACUUGCUAUCGAUCGAUGUAACAUCGAAUAAUAAUCAAUGGGAAAACUUCGAUAUUCGUAUAAUACGGUCUAAGAAAGUCAAAGGAAAAUUAGGUCACCGAACGAGCUUUUAUAAAAGAUAAUAUUAAAAAAAGAAAAAAAGGUAACUCGAACGAAUAUUUCUUUUCGCAUAAAAUCGCCGACGUUAUUUCACACGCUUAAUUAUUCUAACGUAAACAACGUAAUUGCGUGGAUUAAUUAAUACACGCUAUUAAUAACAUUCCAGGGCGUAAAGAAAUCGAGCGAGAUCAUUUAACUGCACGCGAGCAAAAA
Molecule: long non-coding RNA, 758 nt
Filed under: Polistes fuscatus (common paper wasp)
Lineage: Eukaryota; Metazoa; Arthropoda; Insecta; Hymenoptera; Vespidae
Description: uncharacterized LOC122514857
Source: RNAcentral